UUUUUUUUUUUUUUUUUUUUUUUUGCCUGUUCUAGGGCCACUCCCAUGGCACAUGGAGGUUCCCAGGCUAGGGGUCAAAUUGGAGCUGUGGCCGCUGGCCCACGCCAGAGCCACAGCAACACGGGAUCCAAGCCACACCUGUGACCCACAUCACAGCUCACGGCAACGCCGGAUCCCCAACCCACUGAGCAAGGCCAGGGAUCGAACCUGCAACCCCAUGGUUCCUAGUCAGAUUCAUUAACUGAGCCACGACGGGACUCCAAAAUCCUGGUAAUAGAAUAAUUAAAUAUUUUGAUGUGUUAAAAUUCACCACUGAAGUUAAUGUAUCUAUUGGGAGAGAUACUUUGAGGCUAUGCAGAUAUACUGUUUAUCCUUAAAUAUUUGUUCACACAUUUUAUCAUUCAUCAUUGGCCUUGCCUACAGUGAUUACUGUGGUAUUCUCAUGGUGAUUUUCUAUUUUCACAUUUCUUCUUCAUUUGUUACUUUAAAUUGUUUCCUAAGAAAGAUCUGUUCUUUAUUUAAAUGAGAUGGAUUCAUGGUUAUUAUAUUAGCUUUCUAUUGCAUCUUUAAAGAUAUUGCAUUUAGUGACUCAACAACAACAUGCAUUUAUCGUCUCACAUUUCUCAUGUGUCAGAGUCUGGGCAGGCUGUAGCUCAGCCAGUUGCCCUGUUCUAAGACCCACAAGGCAGAAACCAGGUAUACACAGGGCUGAAUAAUUUUCUAGAGUCACUUCCAAGUUCACUCAGGUUGUUGGUAGGAUUCAUUUACCUGCAGUCAUGGGCCUGAAGUGUACUUGCUGGAUUUCAGCCAGGUGUCCUUCUCUGCUUCUAGAAACCACCAGCAUUUGCAGAUUCACAGUCCCUUUCCAAGCCAGAAAGGAUGGGCAGGCCACCUCAUGCUUUGAAUCUCUUCUCUGACUCUCUCUGUGCUGCAUCUCUCUCUCCGAGCCCUGCUGGAUAGAAAUCUCUCUGCUGUUAAGGGCUCAAGUGAUUAGAUUGGGCCUAUCUGGAGAACUGAGGAUAAUCUCCUUAUUUAAAGUUUCAUAACCUUAAUUAUAUCUGCAAAGUUCUUUUUGCCAGGUAACAUAAAGUGUUCCAGGCAACAGAGAUUAAAGGAGCCACAAUCCUCCUACCACAGUUACUUAUUUUAUUCUUUGGUAUAUAAACAAAUGAUUUUGUGCUGUGUUUUGGUACUCACAUCCUUCUAGCUUUGCUCAUUAGAAGCUUAUUUCAGGUUGGUUCCUAGGUCCUUUAUCAUACCUCUCCUCCUUUUUAGCACUUUUUUACUUUGUGACACUACUGAAUGCCCCCAAGCUCAUCUGUUAUUUUCCCUGCCCUAGCCCCUAUGGUGAGAAAUUUCUAUAAGGAGCCUAUUCAGUAUCUUGUAAUAAUUUAUAAUGGAAAAGAAUCUGUAAAGUGUAUGUGUGUGUGUGUGUGUGUACGUGUGUGUGUAUAAACUGAAUCACUUUGCCAUGUACUUGAAAUGCUAUAAAUCAAUUUUAUUUCAAUAAAAAAUAAAAGUUAUAGAAAAACAGAUCAAACACAAGAUGAGAGGGAAAAAAUCCAAUUAUCUAUAGAUGUCAGACAACUAGCAGACAGAGAACACUACAAUUCACAUUACAUGUAAACAGGUAAAUAUACACGAAUCCUUUAGACUCUGCUCUGGAGUCUGCAUCUGAUUUAUGACUCAAAAAGAGACUGUGAUUUAGAUCUAGAUGCCAGUGUUAUCCUAUUACUACCUCAUGACUUCCUUAAAAUAAGGACCAUUCUUUGACAUUAUGCCCUUUAAUAUGGCCUAUCUCCUUUUCUCUCUCUUUUUUUUAGUUUUAAAUAAAUUUUAUUUGAAUAUAGGUGACUUAAAAUGUUAUGUUAGUUUCAGAUGUACAGCAAAGUGAAUCAGCCAUUCAUAUACAUAUAUAUCCAUUCUCUUUUGGAUUCUUUCUCCAUAUGGGCUAUCAGAGAGUAUUGAAUACAUUUCCCCAGGCUGUAGGUCCCUGUUAUUCAUCUAUUUUGUAUAUAUAAUAGUAUGUCUAUGCCAAUCCCAACCUCCCAAUCUAUUCCUCCAUUUCUUCCCCCCAACAGUGUCUCCCCUUUAGUAAGUAUAAGUUUGGUUUUGAAAUCUUUGAGCCUGUUGUUUUGUGAAUAUGUUUUGUAUCAUUUUUAUUAGAUUCAACAUAUAAGUUAUAGCAUAUGUUAUUUGUCUUUCUCAUUCUGACUUCACUUGUAAUGAUAAUCUCUGGAUCCAUCCAUGGUGCUACAAAUGGCAUUAUUUCAUUCUUUUUUAAUGGGUGAGUAACAUUCCAUUGUAUGUAUGUACCACAUCUUCUUCAUUCUUCGUUGAUGGACAUUUGGGUUGCUUCCAUGUCUUGGCCACUAAAUACUGUUGCAGUGAACAUUGAGGUGCAUGAUUACUCUGGUUUCUCUUCAGAUCUUAUAAAUCUUUUCCUUUUCUCUUGAUUUUGUCUUUCUGGAACUUCUUUGAGCAUCAUGUCUCCUCUCUUUCAUACUUACAUUUUUUUUUUUUGUCUUUUUGCCAUUUUCUUGGGCCGCUCUCAUGGCAUAUGGAGGUUCCCAGGCUAGGGGUUGAAUCGGAGCUGUAGCCACCAGCCUACGCCAGAGCCACAGCAACGCUGGAUCCAAGCCGCGUCUGCAACCUACACCACAGCUCACGGCAACGCCGGAUCAUUAACCCACUGAGCAAGGGCAAGGAUCCAACCGAACCCGCAACCUCAUGGUUCCUAGUCGGGUUCGUUAACCACUGCGCCACGACGGGAACUCCCAUACUUACAUUUUUAAAAAUUUCUAUAUUUUUUUCUAAGUCAUUGAUUUUUUUAUGACCUACAAAUUCAAUUAACUUUAUCUGGCACUAAAUACAUCCACUAUUUUUUUAAUGUUUAUAUUUUAUUGUUAUUUAUAAAUCAGUAUGGACAAAGAAAUAACAGCUUAUGUGCUGAAAAACUUAAUAAAAUCAUUUUUACCAUGAUCACUAUUUCUAUUGUAUACAUAUGUAUAAAUUCUGUUACUGCUGUUUUAGCAGUGGAGUCCUUUAAAUGAUAAUUUACUUCAAUUUUUUCCAACAUUCCUAAUUUUAAAUUGUACCUUAUAAGCUAUAUUCUGUGAGAAAACUCCAUAUCAAAAGUUUGACAUUUGAACUUUAAUACAGACUAAUCUGGCUACUGGUUUAAACCUUACCAAAUCCUGACUCCCAUCUAGUUAAAUGUUUGAUAACUCACAUUUUAUACACAAGAAUCCUGAGAUGUUGACUUUCCAUAGGUUAAAGAAUAAGUAAAGUGGUAAAAUUAGAAUUCAAGUCCCCUGGUAAUCUCUUCUCCUUACUACCACCUUUGCAGUGAAUAAAUCCUGAGGGUUUCUGCUAGAUCUUUUAUGGUGUAAAAAAAAGCUAUUUUGGUCCAAAGAGGAAGGUAAAGUACAUGAUAUCUGCCUUCACAAGAUUUGCAUCCUUUUUAGAAUAUUUCUGGAAAGUCUAAUCACCAUGUUGACUCAAGUACUGUUGUAGAGGAGUAAAUGCAAUGUAAGAUUCCUGCACUCUACCUUGUGGACCACAUAGAGAUGGAAUUGAUGGUCGGUACCAUCCCGAAGUUAAUAGUGGGCAGUCUAUGGAUUGAACCUAAAAAUCAAACACGUGGCAUAAUGGAAUGAUAGUUUAGAAAAGAGGUGUAGAAUGCUCUUUUAUUUUUUCAGUCACCAAUCUGAUAUGCUUUCAAGCUUCUUCUGUUUUUUGUUUUCCUGAAGACUUCUGUAGCAUUCAUGAAUAUGUACACUUCAAUCAGUUUGUAAUCUUGCAGCACAUAUCAACCCCUCAGACUGUUUAUCAAAGUUACAUUAAUUGUGGUAAGGCCUGAAUUACAUCAGUUCUUCCAACUACACCAUAAGCUCCAUGAAAGCUGGAGACAAAUGUGCAGUAAUGUUUAGUCUUACAUCUUUUCUCAUGACAUUUAGAUGUCAACAAAAUCAUUACUAAAAAAAUCUAACAUAAUUUAGCCAAUUUCACAUGAGAAAAAAAUGAAUGUAUCUUAAAAUCAUGUUUUUCCACACUUUCUGCAUGAUAUUUUUUCUUUCAUACAAUUUGUAAUUCUUUUGUCAUUCCAUGUAGAAUAACAAUCUCUCAUACACCCAGAAUAUCAGUUUAAUCAAUAUUAAUGAUUAUGUAAUUUAGAGUGGUCAUCAUCUUCCUUAACCAAAGUAUGAUUAUUUAAGGGUAAAUUCCACUCCUAUUAAUAUAAAUGAAAUGGACAUAUAUUGAAAUGCAUAAAGCUUUUCUUAUAUUUAAAACUUUUUUCUUAGGCUGGAUUCCCAGCAUUGUAAUUACAAAAGCUGAGAGGGCAUUUUGGCAUAUUGAAAUAGAAUGAUUUUCAGAUUAUGUAAAAUGCUUCCUGAAUGCACCUCAUGUGUGAUAGAAAUAAGGCAUCUAGGGUUUAUAAUUACAGUAUUUUGUCAUAGGAAACAUGGAAAUACUUUAUCAGAGAAAUUACAUUUUAAAAAAAUUAUAUUUUAUUGCUGUACUUUCUUGUGUCUGAAUGUACUGUACAGAAAGAAUUUUUGAUUGUAGUAUUUACAACAGCAGUUCAUUCAGAGGAGAACCAUUCAUGCUUAUCGUUAUAUGCAAUCAUGAAAUGAAUAGCCAUUUAGCUUCCUGACAUGGUGUCUCAUGUAUUGUUUCUUCUUAUACUACAUCAAAGUUUAGAUGGGAAGGAAUUUGCUAAAUUUGGGGACCCAAUACUUGCAUACUUGAAAUUUACAUUUUUGUUUCCAGUUAAUUUCUGUUCUUUGAGCUCAUCCUUAGUGUAUCACUAUAAAUGAGUGGUGGGAAAAAAGAAACAUUCCAGGUGUAAAGAGCAGAAAUAGAGUUAAUAUAGGGAAGUUUAAGACUUAAAAAAUCAACAGAUGGCCUGUAGGAAGAUGGAGCAUGAUAAUGUGAGAAAAAAAGAAUGUAUGCAUGUAUGUGUAAUUGGGUCACCAUGCUGUACAGUAGGAAAAAAAUGUAUUGGGGAAAUAAUAAAUAAAAAAUAAAUAGAAGUUUUAAAAAAAGAGAGAUCAGUGGACCUUGAAAAUAACUCUGUACAGCAGAAAUUGACACAGCAUUGUAAAUCAAAUAUAACUAAAAGAAGAAAAUAACUUUGUAUGACAUUAUAAUGUUGGAUAUAUGUCAUUUCAUCAAAACUCACUGUAUAACAUCAAGAGUGAAACUGAAGGUAAAGGAUGAACCUUGGGUGAUGAUGAUGUGUUCACUGUAGGUUCAUCCUCCAUGAAAUGGUACUAGUGAUGUGACAUUGACAAUAGGGAAGACUGUGUGUGGGGGAGGGCAGGAAGUGUAAGAGAGAAAUCUUUGUACCUUCCUGUAAAUAUUGUGGUUAACCUCAAACUGCUCCAAGAAUAAAGUCUUUAAAUGAAAAGGAACCAAUGGUCACUGCUGUGAUCCAGGGUCACUGCAGAUGACCUAGAAACUGGCCAUCCAAAUACUGGUUUGCUCGCUGGAAGAAAUAAUCAGCAUUGGUUGGCUCCCCUUCUUAAAUAUUCCUUCUACAUAUCAAACAAAUGCUUCUUAGCCUGGAUCAUAUCUCUUCUCCAAAUGAAGCCACAAGGAAAUAGAAAAAAAAUAGUUUUGACUUUUUCAUCUCUAAGUUCAGAAAGGCACACACUAGAAGAAGAUAAGAAUGGAUGUGGAGAAUUAACAAGCCGUAUUCUACCCUGGCUUCCUACUGAAGAUCUAUACAACUUAUAAAGACAUGUAAAAUCCACUAAUAAACAACCGUGCACACCUAAUGUACUGUACUUAUUCUUGGCAUGUCCACAGAUACAUGCAUGCAUUUAACAUUUUACCAGGGAAUAUCUGAGUGUCCUUUUAUUUACUUCAUUUAUCUGUGAGUGAUUAUUAUUUCUGUAAUUCAAACAUCGGCAAACAACCUCUAGCACACAAUGUCUUUAUAAGGCAGGGUGAGAAGGAUGAACAGCUUCUGCUACAGUCCUCACUUAGGCAACUGCCCAAAGUUCAUAUUUUGAAAAACUUUUUUCCCCCACAUUUCCUAUGUUCCAUUAACUUUUUGGAUGGCCAGGGUUGUUUAUUUGGGGAUAGAGGAGGCCAGAAUCUCUCUUAUUGAGGAGUCAUAGCUGUCUGGAUCUUAUGACUCCUUGGGUUCUGUAAUAAGUCAUUUUCUUUCACCACCAGACUUAGCAGUUAUUAGGAAAUGCUUUGAUUAUUUCAGGAACAUUGUAGAGGAAAUUUGAAAUAAAGUGUUUUUGCAGAAAUUGGGAACAAAAUGUGUGUCAUUUAAAAUUUGACAUCAAAACUUCAUAAUUAAAACCAUUCCAAGUUGUAUAGUUUCUGAAGUGCUGUAAUUAUUGACAUUUUAAAAUAAAACUCCUGCUUUUUCUUAGGAUAUAGUCACAAGAGAAUGUUCUUACACCCUAGCAACAUGAUCAAAAUAUCUGAGAACUUAGUUGCAAAGAAUCUAACUCAAAUCCAAAAAAUGGCAGCUCUGUUGGGGAACGAGGGACCGACAGCCACUGUCAUUCUUGGCAGAGCAGCAGGAAACAAAGGGAACUGCCACAGAUGCAAGAGCACUGAUGAAAUUGAUAAAACUAGUAAAACCUUGAGGGCAUUCUGGCAUGAGAGUCCAGAAUCCCUGGGAAGCCCAGACACAACAGAAAUCUCCAUGCAAUUUCCACUUUUUACACAGGCUUCCAACAGACAGCUCCUGAGAGUGACUGGAAGCUGAAAGAGCCCUCCCCUGAGGAAAGAGUGCUAACCUCUGAGAGUUGUCAAGGAGGAGAGACGUCCACCAGGCACAUCAAGUCUACUCUGAGGAGGCAGCAAUUGCCUUCAGUUUGAGAGAAGUUCAGAAGGCAUGCUGAGCCUCCCCCAGGUGAAUACUCAAGGAUCCUUUGAAAAUCAAAUCUUAGAGACACAACUGGGAGAA
This 6937-nucleotide long non-coding RNA is filed under the name Sus scrofa (pig). Its description in RNAcentral is "lncRNA (ENSSSCG00000053413.1)". Lineage: Eukaryota; Metazoa; Chordata; Mammalia; Artiodactyla; Suidae. The record is from RNAcentral.